RNAcentral lists this non-coding RNA (29 nucleotides) under Mus musculus (house mouse). The record is from RNAcentral. Lineage: Eukaryota; Metazoa; Chordata; Mammalia; Rodentia; Muridae.
UCCAUAGGUUGUGAAUGGUGUCUUGGUCU